UCGGACCAGUGAUAUUGAGGUGCCGUUGGCCAUGGGCGCAUAUGUCCAUAGCUAGGAGUAGGAUUGUUAGUUUGUUACAACAUACGGAUGAUAUGCACACGGAAGGGUGAUUUAAACAAGCCAGAAUUGUUUCUGCUAUGAUCCGCAGCAUAGAUGGGGGAUUUUAAAAUGUCAGACAAGAAAGUUAUCGGCCUGGUACUAUGACAUGAGUAAAUCAUUCGCGCGUCGUUUGUAUAAUCAUGACUUCGGGCUGUCUGUUUCGAUCUAUGGUUGCUUCUUUCGAUCCAACAUUGAGGUCAUUCGUGAGCGAGAUUGGACGGCACCAUGGCACCACUACUGCUCCGCCGGAUGCAUGGUCUGAUUCUUGUUUUUGUAUUGGUUAGAUUACUUGCUUAUGUCUUUGUAACACCCUCGAUGCGACUAUAUCUCCCACGUGUCGAGG
Molecule: non-coding RNA, 442 nt
Organism: Triticum urartu
Lineage: Eukaryota; Viridiplantae; Streptophyta; Magnoliopsida; Poales; Poaceae
Source: RefSeq, a predicted model, not a curated record